Molecule: ribosomal RNA, 429 nt
Filed under: Chloroflexota bacterium
Lineage: Bacteria; Bacillati; Chloroflexota
Description: Chloroflexi bacterium partial 16S ribosomal RNA
Rfam family: Bacterial small subunit ribosomal RNA
Source: RNAcentral
UGGGGAAUAUUGCACAAUGGGCGCAAGCCUGAUGCAGCCAUGCCGCGUGUGUGAAGAAGGCCUUCGGGUUGUAAAGCACUUUCAGCGGGGAGGAAGGCGUUAAGGUUAAUAACCUUGGCGAUUGACGUUACCCGCAGAAGAAGCACCGGCUAACUCCGUGCCAGCAGCCGCGGUAAUACGGAGGGUGCAAGCGUUAAUCGGAAUUACUGGGCGUAAAGCGCACGCAGGCGGUUGAUUGAGUCAGAUGUGAAAUCCCCGGGCUUAACCCGGGAAUUGCAUCUGAUACUGGUCAGCUAGAGUCUUGUAGAGGGGGGUAGAAUUCCAUGUGUAGCGGUGAAAUGCGUAGAGAUGUGGAGGAAUACCGGUGGCGAAGGCGGCCCCCUGGACAAAGACUAACGCUCAGGUGCGAAAGCGUGGGGAGCAAACAGG